This 87-nucleotide transfer RNA is filed under the name Hydrogenimonas sp. RNAcentral's name for it is "tRNA-Leu". It matches the Rfam family "tRNA". From Rfam's summary of the family: Transfer RNA (tRNA) molecules are approximately 80 nucleotides in length. Their secondary structure includes four short double-helical elements and three loops (D, anti-codon, and T loops). The record is from RNAcentral. Lineage: Bacteria; Pseudomonadati; Campylobacterota; Epsilonproteobacteria; Campylobacterales; Hydrogenimonadaceae.
GCCGGGGUGGUGAAACUGGUAGACACGCCAGACUCAAAAUCUGGUGGCCGUUAGGCCGUGCCGGUUCGAUUCCGGCCCUCGGUACCA